CUCACUUCCUCUUGGCGCCAAGUCCUCUGGGAUUCUGCCCCUCCCCUCCCAUCAGAAUACCCAAAAUGCCCAUAACAGGCAGUAAACGGAACCAGAACAUUAACUCUUUAACUUCCACUGGUUCAUGUGAUGUUCUGAUGUGGAAUACUGACAACAAAAAUCACCAAAACACAACAUCCAUUUAGCUUACUACUCGAUGACUGGGUCUCAAUUGGGCUGAACCUGUAAUUAUGUACCUGUAAUGCUCUGGGAAUGAGGACAGAGGAAAAGACAGCGAUAUCCUUUCCAGCCCUGCCAUCCACCAGUACCCCCAAACCCCUUUGAGCAGGGCUGUGCUCCAUCCUUACUUCCCUCAGCUUGUACUCAGUGGGGGGUUACCAGGACCUGUGUGCAAGACCUUGCACUUGGCUUUGCUGGAACUCAGAAGGUCCUCCUGGGCCCACUUACCAGGCCUGUCUAGGUCUAUCUGGAUGGCAUCCCGCCCCUUGAGCAUGCCAACCACACCACAAAGCUUGCUGUUAUCCACAGACUUGCUGAGUGUGUAUUCAAUCCCACUGUCAACAUCACUGAUGAAGAUCUUUCUUAAAGAGCACCAGUCACUGACCCCUGAGGGACACCACUUUUCACCAAUCUCCGUGUGGACACUGAGUCAUUGACCAUCCCUCACUGGGUACAAUAUUGCAACCAAUUCCUCAUCUAUCAAAGAAUUCAACCAUCUAAUCCAUAUGUUUCCAAUUUGGAAAGAAAGAUGUUAUGGGGAAAGAGUGGUGGGAAAGAGACCAUGUGAAAGGCCUUACUGAAGUCUGGAUAGAUGACAUCAGUGCUGCCUCCCUUGUCCACUGACACACCAUUAUAAAAAGCAGGAAGGUUGGUCAGGCAGGAGCUGCCCAUGCUGGUUCUCUCAUAUCACCAUCUUCCCUGUGCCUUAGCAUAGCUUUCAGUAGGAUCUGCUCUAUGAUCUUCCUGGCUCUGAGGGGAAGCUAACAGGUAGUAAUGACGCAACACAGCAAGACUGCUGGCUCAGAGAUGGUGUACGUAAUGAAGCAAUAUGAGUUGAUGUCACCACAGCAAUGGACUGCACAUGACAACAAGAAACUGACUAUCAAGCAAAAUUUCAGAAAACAGCUGCCUUAUCCGGAAAAUCUCAGGUAUCAUUUCCAACACGUCUUCUGGUCACUUAGAAAGCACAGGAACUUCAUGAUGCAAUAUUUGUUGUCAUUCAGACUUAAACUGCAACUUGGCAUAUACGGGGAAAAAACACAAGCUGUUAUUCUCCAAUUAGAGAUUAAUUUUGUCCUUAUUAUGUCUUCAGUGGACAUGAAAAUGGGUAAGUAAUAAUACCACGCGGCAGGAAACACAAGGUCCUUUUGGUAGAGGCUGGGGAAUAAAAAUAUUUAACCUCACAGAAGAGUCAGAUUGAGGCAGAGAUUUCAGUGUGCUCUUCAGCACAUCUAUUUCUUCACGUGACAGUAGAGUGAAAACUAUGAUAAAUAUUGCCAUAUUCCCAGCCCUAACAGGUACAGAAGAUGUAGGUAAGACCCACAAAUGUCUGAAGGGAAGGUGUGACAAAAGCAUGAAAGAGGUCACAUCUGCAAGAUCUUUUUGUCUCAUCUGAAGAGCUCCUUGUUAAGGGGAAAUACAAAUGUACAACAACUUCCAAUUAACUUCCAUGUCACAUUUAAAUAAUUGUUGAAUACAACCUUUUUAACUUUCAUCACAAAGAAUGAGUAAACUGCAUCUGAAUAGUCCUUCAAGGCAUUUUUGGUUUUCAUUUUAAUUAACAAAGUUAUCCCAAGCACAAACAUGGCUCCCGGUGUUUAAACAUUUAGAAUGUAAGUCUGUACAGUCUCUAAGUAUGAUGUUCUGUCCCUUCUGAAUGGAGCAUCCACCUUCAAUAAAGCAGAACUAGGCAGACAUUGUGAAGUGUUUUAUAUUUGAUAAUUUUCUGUCUUAACUGCUUUCUAUAUCUUCCUCAGUGCAUCAACAUUAGAGAAGGACUCCUUUUAAAAUAAAACAUAAUUAUAAUGCAAUUGAGUCAAAAUUAUGUAUAAUUUAUCUCUUUGGCUGCUGUUAACCUACCUUCCCUUUUUUGUUAUGGUCAGAGCACACAUAUGUAUGCUACUUCUGCUCACCCCCUUCCUGAACCUACAGAACUUCAUUGCAUUCACAUCUCGGCUUCCAGGUCACAUGUAAGUCCCUGUAUAACACAGAACAUUGAUGUGGGUUUUUUUUGUUUCGUUUUUUUGUUUGUUUGUUUUGUUUGGUUGGUUGGUUUGGUUUGGUUGGUUGUUGUUGCUGCUGCUGUUUGCAUUGGUUUUAAGAGAUUUUAAGAGGAUGAGCAGAGAGAAAAGAGACCAUUCCAAAAAUCCCUUUGUAACGACUUUGUUUUAACUGGUUGUGAACUGCAUUGUAGACCAGACAAUGUGUUCAGUAAAUCUUAUUCUCCAAGUUUUUUAAUGAGGAAGUGAAAAUGGAUUGUGAAUUAUUAAUAAAGCUAUUAAUGUACCUC
Gallus gallus (chicken) is the source of this 2509-nucleotide long non-coding RNA. NCBI's taxonomy places the organism in Eukaryota, Metazoa, Chordata, Aves, Galliformes, Phasianidae. The record is from Ensembl.